This 494-nucleotide ribosomal RNA is filed under the name uncultured bacterium. Its description in RNAcentral is "partial 16S ribosomal RNA". It matches the Rfam family "Bacterial small subunit ribosomal RNA", at positions 29 to 507 of the family's 1533-position model. The record is from RNAcentral.
ACGAACGCUGGCGGCGUGCCUAAUACCUGCAAGUAGAACGCUGAAGGAGGAGCUUGCUUCUCUGGAUGAGUUGCGAACGGGUGAGUAACGCGUAGGUAACCUGCCUGGUAGCGGGGGAUAACUAUUGGAAACGAUAGCUAAUACCGCAUAACAGUAGAUAUCGCAUGAUAUCUACUUGAAAGGUGCAAUUGCAUCACUACCAGAUGGACCUGCGUUGUAUUAGCUAGUUGGUGAGGUAACGGCUCACCAAGGCGACGAUACAUAGCCGACCUGAGAGGGUGAUCGGCCACACUGGGACUGAGACACGGCCCAGACUCCUACGGGAGGCAGCAGUAGGGAAUCUUCGGCAAUGGACGGAAGUCUGACCGAGCAACGCCGCGUGAGUGAAGAAGGUUUUCGGAUCGUAAAGCUCUGUUGUAAGAGAAGAACGAGUGUGAGAGUGGAAAGUUCACACUGUGACGGUAUCUUACCAGAAAGGGACGGCUAACUACGUG